GUCUAUGACCAUACCACACUGAAUGCACCCAAUCUAUCUGAUCUUGGAAGCUUAGCAGUGUUGGGCUUCGGGAAAUGUUUGCUCCUAUUGCAGAACACUUGCAGAUC
Molecule: ribosomal RNA, 107 nt
Organism: Fukomys damarensis (Damara mole-rat)
Lineage: Eukaryota; Metazoa; Chordata; Mammalia; Rodentia; Bathyergidae
Source: Ensembl